This 328-nucleotide long non-coding RNA is filed under the name Chlamydomonas reinhardtii. Its description in RNAcentral is "long non-coding RNA (CREI_LNC000068)". The record is from RNAcentral. Lineage: Eukaryota; Viridiplantae; Chlorophyta; Chlorophyceae; Chlamydomonadales; Chlamydomonadaceae.
GCCCAGCCCCGCGCCUGGCGUGCCUCCGACGUCGCCUGCGCCGCCCAGCCCCGCGCCUGGCGUGCCUCCGCCGUCGCCUGCGCCGCCCAGCCCUGCCCCCGGCGUGCCUCCGCCGUCGCCCGAGCCGCCCAGCCCCGCGCCUGGCGUACCUCCGCCGUCGCCUGCGCCGCCCAGCCCCGCGCCUGGCGUACCUCCGCCGUCGCCUGCGCCGCCCAGCCCUGCCCCCGGCGUGCCUCCGCCGUCGCCUGCGCCGCCCAGCCCCGCGCCUGGCGUGCCUCCGCCUUCGCCCGAGCCGCCCAGCCCCGCGCCUGGCGUGCCUCCGCCAUCG